UACGUAGGUGGCAAGCGUUGUCCGGAUUUACUGGGCGUAAAGCGCACGCAGGUGGCUGAGUCAGUCGAUUGUGAAAGCCCUGGGCUUAACCUGGGAAUUGCAGUCGAUACUACUCGGCUCGAGUAUGGGAGAGGGCAGUGGAAUUCCCGGUGUAGCGGUGAAAUGCGUAGAUAUCGGGAGGAACAUCAGUGGCGAAGGCGGCUGCCUGGCCCAAUACUGACACUCAGGUGCGACAGCGUGGGGAGCAAACAGG
RNAcentral lists this ribosomal RNA (253 nucleotides) under uncultured bacterium. RNAcentral describes it as "partial 16S ribosomal RNA". It matches the Rfam family "Bacterial small subunit ribosomal RNA", at positions 524 to 776 of the family's 1533-position model. The record is from RNAcentral.